AGCAACGCAGGUAUGAUUGAAGACAGCGGUUGACGACCUCAGUCUGGCCGUCCGUUUCUGGAUGGUAAGCGGUAGAAAAUUUCAAAGUGGUACCUUGGAGCCUAAAAAUCUCUCGCCAGAGAUUGCUGAGAAAAAUGGGAUCGCGGUCAGAUACAAUACUUUUAGGGACACCAUGUAAGCGAACUAUUUCCACCUCAAAGCGUUGGGCGAGGUUGGCAGCAGUGAAGGAAGAAGGCAGAGCAAUGAAGUGACUGUAUUUAGUGAGACGAUCCACAAUGACCCAUAUGACUGUGUGACGAGCAGAGGAGGGCAGGUUUUACAUGCGGCAAUAAAGGCUUGAACAUGCUUGCGAAGAUGAGGCCAAGAGAAGGAGGCCGAAAUUCGGGCAAGCGUGGGUUUGACAUCGGAACGACCAGCAAGGGGUGUAGAAUGGAACUCAUGAAGAAGGUUGGAGCGCAUGGACUGGCAGUCAGGUACAAAGAUCUUUCCUCGAUAAUACAAAAGUCCUUGUUGAAUAGUAAAUAGAUGAUCUGAUGAUGCAAUUUUUUCCUUGAUGAGUUCGGAGCCUGCAUUGCUGGUGUAAAAAGUUCGGAGAUCCUAAAAAAUGCAAGGAACAGUUGUGGAGAAGGCAUGAAGAAUAACACUUGGAAGGUUAUCUUGGUGACAACGUGAUAAAGCAUCUGCCACAAGGUUCUCCUUACCAGAUUCAGUCACUGCGUGCAUCUCUCGAACAUAAACAGAUUCUUGUUGCAUCUUAGAACAAAGUUUCUUACUAAAGAAUGCAAUGGGAAGUUGAUCUUGGGAGAGCACAGCGCCUACUACCACGGAAGAAGCAUCCGUAGUGAUGUCAAAAUCUUUUGUAAAAUCUGGGAGGUGCAAGACAGGAGUCUUAGUGAUGGCAUCCUUCAAUGUUGAAAAUGCUUGUUCAGCCUGUAAAUUCCAAACAAAAGAAGUAAGUUUUAAUAAAUCUGUGAGAGGCGCUGCGAGGGAUGCAUAAUGUCGUAUAAAACAACGAUAAAAACCCGUUAAUCCCAAAAAAACCCUGAGUGUGGUGAGAGAUGUAGGAGUGGGCCAAUGUGCUAUGGCGGAUAACU
Molecule: non-coding RNA, 1094 nt
Organism: Cajanus cajan (pigeon pea)
Lineage: Eukaryota; Viridiplantae; Streptophyta; Magnoliopsida; Fabales; Fabaceae
Source: RefSeq, a predicted model, not a curated record